Molecule: long non-coding RNA, 923 nt
Organism: Ictalurus punctatus (channel catfish)
Lineage: Eukaryota; Metazoa; Chordata; Actinopteri; Siluriformes; Ictaluridae
Source: Ensembl
CCGAUGCUUCCUGGGAUAGGCUCCAGGUUCCCCGUGACCCUGAAGGAAGGAUAAGCAGUGAUGGAUGGAUGGAUAACUUGCUUAUUACCUGCUUAUAAUUUGGACUUGUCAGUGUAGCAAUAACUGCGUGAGGUCUGUGCAAUCACGCCACACACUGUAUCUAGUCUAAUCUGUGAAAGUUCGGGUGUUGACGCUGGGGUAUGCUGAUAGUGAUGCGGUUUGGUUUGGGACGGAGCUGCUGUCCGUGUAAUUUAGGAAGCCGUUUGGGAUUUUAGUGAGGAGUGCAGAUGCAGCGAGGACUUGCGCUUUAAGCCCGUCCCAAAUCAUCAUGAAGGGGGGCGCGGACACUCCAAAACUCCAGUGCGUAAAAGUUGAUCCACAUGGGUUAUGCGCGCACACCGGGCAUCCGCGUGAAGGCUUUUUAAUCCGAUUUUUUCCUUCUUAUUAAAAAAAAUUAAAUGCCUCCUUAACACCGCGGAUUUUAUCCUUCAAGACCUGUCAGGAUUGGAGUGAUUGAAGUGUUUUCUGUGGACUGACCGAUGGAAACAUGAGCCGAUUUUAUUAUCGCAUGCUUCUUUUCCCAUUUACUCUCUUCAGUACUGUUUUACUUCCGACUUCUGGAAAAUCCCAAAAUGAAGCUGACAGAAACGGAGAAGAAUGUCCUGACAAUAAGAUUUUAACAGUGGAGUAUCCGUGUAUCAGAGCAGGAGGAGAGCGUGGCACAUGCCUCAGGAGGAAGUGCUGUAAAGGUUUCAGGUUCGUCAUGGGCCAGUGUGUACCAGAAAGUAGGUAAAAUCUUGUUUUGUUUUAUUUUUUAAAUUCUCAUCAGCUUUUUAAAUUCACACACUCUGCGGUUAUUAAAACUGAUUAACUACAUGUUCUCAGUUCGUUUCAUUAUAUUUCAUUAUAUUUGAUCAAUCGAC